This 519-nucleotide long non-coding RNA is filed under the name Setaria viridis. Its description in RNAcentral is "long non-coding RNA (SVIR_LNC000928)". Lineage: Eukaryota; Viridiplantae; Streptophyta; Magnoliopsida; Poales; Poaceae. The record is from RNAcentral.
GUAGUCCGGGUCUUCCUCUGUAGUAACGAAGCAAGGGUGAGUACGAACGUACUCAACAAGUCCAACCCCAUCCACGGAGGGGGAUACAAUCAAGUAUAUGCACAGGAUAAAUCAAGGAUAGGCUAGAGUUUAUUUGCAAUAAAGCUAGAUUUUUCAACACAUGCAAGCGCUCAUUUUCAAACAAAUUUUUGUAAAGCUUUUCUUUAAUAACUGAAACAUUAAGUGGGGUUGAUCCUACACAAAGGAUCCAAGUUUUAUCGCUAUCGGACUCCCCGUCCACCAUAGUGCACGGCACAACUGCCGGACACUUCCAAAAUUCCACACACACGCACGCACACACACACCCAACAACCAUGCCCAAGUGUUAGUUAUGUGACCAAGCCGUAACUCGUCCAAUACCGUGGACACGGCUACCCGGAUAGGUUUCAACUCUGCAGAGGUUGUACACUUUUCCCACAAGUAGGAUACCGCAGCACGAUCACCUUAGUGCCGGUGCGGAUCCUAACAAAGCCAUUACCC